CUCUGCAGGCCUGGAUGAAGCUCUCAAGUAUGACUCCUCCAGCCCAGGCAUCUGCAGAGAUUUCACAACAGGAAAUGAGAUGAAUAAUCUUGAAACUGCACUCUCACAGCUCAGAGGAAGAGCAUCUGCACAGGCUCUCUGGCGUCUGGCUUCCUGGAGGAGCCAGAGUCGCUUUCACUUUCAAAGAACACAUUUACUAGCUGAGGAGCCUUGGCCUUGGACACACACAUCAGUGAGCCUCAUAGAAGAGCAGGGGUCAGGUAUCACCUUAAACCUAAAAGAAGAAAACUUAGACAAGCUGAGAGCCCCCCAACUCAGCAUGAUGUUCAGCAUGCCUGCUUGAAAGGAAAGCCAACGUAGUAACGAGAACAUCUGCAAGCACCAUUCAGCCUUGAAACUAUAGAAAAAACAACCACUGAUAAACUUCCCUCCUCAGAGUUCCCUCUUCUGCCCAAGCCCUGCAUCUGGGCACACAGUCUCCAUCCCCAAGGGAGCCUGGGGUCCUUCAGUUGUUCUGAUCAGAAGAUAAUCUGUCCUUGUAGAGGCCGCUCUGCUCUUCCUUUUAUUUCCAACUCUCCUCCAUCAGUUCCAAUAAAACACCCAUUUCCAGAGCAGAAAUGGCUGACAGAGACAAGGAUCCACUGGCCUCCUGCUUGGAGCAACCACAGAAGGGACACUGGAAGACGUAUGGACAAGCUCUGUGCAGUCAGGCAUUAUUGGAGGGCACUAUCAACACAGGAGCAGCUCAGUCCCAGAAGGCAAGUGACAGAGAGGAGGCUCAGCAUGAGGGUCAAAAGGGCUUGGACCCCUCCCACCACACCUGGAAACAGAUGAACCUGGAGCUACAGCAGCCCUUUUCUCUCUCAAAGAAAGACUUGAUACUAAGACAUCCUUCAUUGCUCAGAUUCAUAAGCACACCCAACAUGAAGUUCCUUGAAUGGUCAGAUGACUUUGAACUAAAGAAGACACUUGAUAAAUGGGACCAAGACUCUGGAUUUGGAAGCAGAGGUAAGCUGAACUGUGGGCUGUGGAUGGGACUUCAAGUCCACAUAGAUGAGGUUUCUUCACAGGUGAGCCUCCACCCCUAUGGGGACCUGGUAUAAGGGACUUAAAUGGAGGAGCAGAGGAGCCAUUGUGGAGUGCUAAGAGUCACAGGCUGGAAAUUGAUCCCUCUGGGCUCUGCAGUGAUGAAGUUGAA
Long non-coding RNA from Peromyscus leucopus (white-footed mouse), 1198 nucleotides. RefSeq lists it as uncharacterized. NCBI's taxonomy places the organism in Eukaryota, Metazoa, Chordata, Mammalia, Rodentia, Cricetidae. The transcript has 3 exons. The record is from RefSeq and is a predicted model, not a curated record.